CCUACGGGUGACAGCAGUCGAGAAUCAUGCACAAUGGGGGAAACCCUGAUGGGGCGACGCCGCGUGGGGGAAUGAAGGUCUGCGGAUUGUAAACCCCUGUCAUGUGGGAGCAAAUUAAAAAGAUAGUACCACAAGAGGAAGAGACGGCUAACUCUGCGCCAGCAGCCGCGGUAAUACAGAGGGCUCAAGCGUUGUUCGGCACCACUGGGCGUAAAGCGUGCGUAGACUGUUGCGUAAGGCGGUUGUGAAAGGCGCGGGCUCAACCCGCGGACGGCACAUGAGAAUGCGAGACUAGAGUAAUGGAGAGGUAACCGGAAUUCUCGGUGUAGCCGUGAAAUGCGUAGAUAUCGAGCGGAACACUAGUGGCGAAGGCGGGUUCCUGGACAUUAACUGACGCUGAGGCACGAAGGCCAGGGGAGCGAAAGGGAUUAGAUACCCCUGUAGUC
RNAcentral lists this ribosomal RNA (446 nucleotides) under uncultured bacterium. RNAcentral's name for it is "partial 16S ribosomal RNA". It matches the Rfam family "Bacterial small subunit ribosomal RNA", at positions 338 to 795 of the family's 1533-position model. The record is from RNAcentral.